UGUGUGGUUCACAGACUCGGUA
Molecule: non-coding RNA, 22 nt
Filed under: Rattus norvegicus (Norway rat)
Lineage: Eukaryota; Metazoa; Chordata; Mammalia; Rodentia; Muridae
Source: RNAcentral